GAGACCCUUGCCGAUAAUUGCUAGCUGCCCAGUGAUGGGCGGAGGCUAGUUAUCGGGACUGCCGCUGCUAAAGCGGAGGAAGGAGAGGGCCACGGCAGGUCAGUAUGCCCCGAAACUCCUGGGCCACACGCGGGCUGCAAUGGUAGGGACAGUGGGUCCCGACCUCGACAGAGGAAGGUAAUCCUCAAACCCUACCCCAGUUGUGAUUGAGGGCUGAAACCCGCCCUCAUGAAUAUGGAAUCCCUAGUAACCGCGUGUCAUCACCGCGCGGUGAAUAC
This 278-nucleotide ribosomal RNA is filed under the name uncultured crenarchaeote. Its description in RNAcentral is "partial 16S rRNA". It matches the Rfam family "Archaeal small subunit ribosomal RNA", at positions 1047 to 1325 of the family's 1478-position model. Lineage: Archaea; Thermoproteati; Thermoproteota. The record is from RNAcentral.